AGUGAACGCUGGCGGCAGGCCUAAUACAUGCAAGUCGAACGGCAGCACAGCAGAGCUUGCUCUGUGGGUGGCGAGUGGCGGACGGGUGAGGAAUACGUGGGAAUCUGCCCAGUCGUGGGGAUAACGUAGGGAAACUUACGCUAAUACCGCAUGCGCCCUUCGGGGGAAAGCCGGGGACCUUCGGGCCUGGCGCGAUUGGAUGAGCCCACGUCGGAUUAGCUAGUUGGCGGGGUAAAGGCCCACCAAGGCGACGAUCCGUAGCUGGUCUGAGAGGAUGAUCAGCCACACUGGAACUGAGACACGGUCCAGACUCCUACGGGAGGCAGCAGUAGGGAAUAUUGGACAAUGGGCGCAAGCCUGAUCCAGCCAUGCCGCGUGAGUGAAGAAGGCCCUCGGGUUGUAAAGCUCUUUUGUCCGGAAAGAAAAGCGCCGGGUUAAUACCCUGGUGUCCUGACGGUACCGGAAGAAUAAGCA
This 474-nucleotide ribosomal RNA is filed under the name uncultured bacterium. RNAcentral describes it as "bacterial SSU rRNA". It matches the Rfam family "Bacterial small subunit ribosomal RNA", at positions 29 to 492 of the family's 1533-position model. The record is from RNAcentral.